AGGAAGCUACAAUGUCUGUUGUGAGGCCGUCUGUUUCGAACGAGCAAAGCUGAUAAACGAGUCGCUGAACACGAGCGUCGAGCCUUGUGACGAUUUCUACUCGUACGCCUGCGGCGGGUGGAUUGACAAGCACGAAAUACCAGACGACAAGUCGAGUACCGGGAACUUUUACCUGCUGCGGGAUGAACUGCAAGUCACUCUGAAAAAUAUAUUCGGAAACAUGACGCUCGUAGAGCAGAACCAAAAUAUAACGGACAAGCUUGCUGCUGCCUACAAUGCCUGUGUCGG
RNAcentral lists this long non-coding RNA (288 nucleotides) under Dermacentor andersoni. Its description in RNAcentral is "uncharacterized LOC126539174". The record is from RNAcentral. Lineage: Eukaryota; Metazoa; Arthropoda; Arachnida; Ixodida; Ixodidae.